RNAcentral lists this ribosomal RNA (497 nucleotides) under uncultured bacterium. Its description in RNAcentral is "partial 16S ribosomal RNA". It matches the Rfam family "Bacterial small subunit ribosomal RNA", at positions 28 to 507 of the family's 1533-position model. The record is from RNAcentral.
GACGAACGCUGGCGGCGUGCCUAAUACAUGCAAGUUGAGCGCUGAAGGUUGGUACUUGUACCCACUGGAUGAGCAGCGAACGGGUGAGUAACGCGUGGGGAAUCUGCUUUUGAGCGGGGGACAACAUUUGGAAACGAAUGCUAAUACCGCAUAAAAACUUUAACCACAAGUUUUAAGUUUGCAAGAUGCAAUUGCAUCACUCAAAGCUGAUUCCGCGUUGUAUUAGCUAGGUGGGGAGGUAAAGGCUCACCAAGGCGAUGGUACCUAGCCGACCUGAGAGGGUGAUCGACCACAAUGGGACUGGGACAACGCCCAAACUCCCACCGGGAGCAACAAGAGGGGAACUUUGGCAAAGGACGAAAGGCUUACCGAACAACGCCGCGGUGGGUAAGGAAGGUUUCGGGUCGGAAAACUCCGUUUGUAGGGAAGAACGAUGAGGAGAGUGAAAAGCUCAUCAAGUGACGGUAACUACCCAGAAAGGGACGGCUAACUACGUG